Molecule: long non-coding RNA, 433 nt
Filed under: Mus musculus (house mouse)
Lineage: Eukaryota; Metazoa; Chordata; Mammalia; Rodentia; Muridae
Description: predicted gene 29130
Source: RNAcentral
GGCCUUGCUCUUAUGUCAUCUGACUAAAGGUUUCAUAGACCAAAGAUAACCAUCCAACUUGUUGGAAUACUGAAACAAUUGCUGCCUGCUGUCCACACACCACAUAAAAUAUGUGGAUUUCGUAAAUUCUGCAAAAAAGGUUUGGAAGCUGAUCAAUCAAUACUGGAACUCCCUCUUCUCCAGAAGAGACAUCCAGGCCUCCAUGCAGAGGAAUGUGUGGAUGGACAUAUAUUUAAGGAAGACACUAAACCAGAAACUACUACAUUACACCCUCUUAGAAGACUUCUAAGAUUGUUGUCAUGCCUACCACAUUCAGAUGAUGUGUAUUGUUGAUUGUGAUUUCAUGUUUGGACCUGAUGAAGGAGUUUGAAGUCUCCAGAGCAGCAAAGAGAGUGGGGAGUAGAACUCAUCAUCUUUAGGUCACUCAUCAUCG